RNAcentral lists this long non-coding RNA (1570 nucleotides) under Brachypodium distachyon (stiff brome). RNAcentral's name for it is "long non-coding RNA (BDIS_LNC003807)". The record is from RNAcentral. Lineage: Eukaryota; Viridiplantae; Streptophyta; Magnoliopsida; Poales; Poaceae.
UUUGUUCCCAACCAUCUUGCAUAUCAUGUACUUCCUUCCCAACAUGCUUAUAUAUAUAUCAUGUGCUUUGUUCCAAUCAUGUACUUUGUUUUUGUUCUUUGUCCUACUCUUUCGCAAGUAUUUUCAUAGCCACAUUUACUUCAUUUUUGUACUUCUGGUUUAGCAUAUAAUUAGAGCUCAAUACGAGUACUGCUACUUGUAUUAGUGCAAGUUUUGUUUUUCAAAUGUAUGUGCUAUUUACCAGAUUGGACGAUAUGUACCUUAGGGCUUCAUUUGCCACAUCAUGUACUUCGGAUGUACUUUAGGUUUAUCAUAUAAUCAGUGAUUUGAGUACGGGUACUUGUGUUAGUGCGAGUUUUUCAAUAUAUGUACUUCAGAUUGUGGAAGUAGUUUCCAAUUUGUACUUGAUAUAUUCCAUGAAGUAAUUAAUUACCUUCAUGUACUUGGUGUACCUGGAUUAACCCAUGAAGUAAUUAAUUACUUGUACUUCAUAUUGUACUUAGCUUCUGUUUAACCGUCUCAGUUUUUCAAUAAAUCUACUUCAGAUUGUGAAACCAUCAUGUACUUGUACUUAGCUUCUGUUUAACCCAUGAAGUAAUUAAUUACCUUCUUGCAUCAAUUAAGAUUCAAAUUGUACCUGGAUUCUAUUCGUCCAAACCAUCAUGUACUUCAUGUACUCUACUUCAUAGUUGUUGUCCUCUGCCUUUUAUCAAAUGACAUACCAAUUACUUGGUGUACUUCUGAUAUCCGCUACUUUUUCUGCAAUCCAGUAGCAAUGGUCAGUUCUAGGUCACACAUAUAGUUACUUUUCAACUUCAUUGCUUUAGUCCAUGAGUACUGAUGCUCUUAUAGUUUUCAUAUGUAAUGAUGAUCAUCUAGAAGUUUACACACUUGACGAAAUGUGCAUAUUGUGCUGACAAUUAAGUACCAACGAGGUUCAUGAAGUGAGUGUGGAGGCUGAACCAGAACGUGCCAUGGUAGAGAAAGAUGCAUCAGGUUGGAACACAUAAUAUUGGUUGAAGUACUGAUUUGGUUGUAUUGUGGAGAUUGGUAAUUAGCUUGGUUCAUCGUUAUGUUUGCAGAUUCUUCGGUUCAACUUCAAGAUGUGAAGGUGUACCAAAGGCCUAAUAUCUCGACUAAGAUGUACAACAGGAUUGCAAAGAAGCUUCGGUUCAACUUCAAGAUGGAGUCCCAUCUUGAUGUACCACAGAUAGAGGUGGAGUCACCAUGAACUUUCUGAGUCUUAUAGUUUUAUACGUACCGUCUCAAUCUCGAAAGAAUGUAUGUACCGUCUCUUCUUGGUGUUGCCUUUUCAUUCCAUCAAGUCUUCUGUCAAAGUACUUCAUCAAGGGGAGUACUUUCUGAGUCCAUUCACACAUUAACUAAUAACAUUAUAUAUUAUAUGGGCUUCAUGAAUUUGAAACCAUCAUGUACUUGUACUUAGCUUCUGUUUAACCCAUGAAGUAAUUAAUUACCCUGUAAUUGCAUCAAUUAAGAUUCAAAUUGUACCUGGAUUGUAUAUGUCCAAACCAUCAUGUACUUCAUGUAUUCUACUUCAUAGUUGUUGUCC